This 305-nucleotide ribosomal RNA is filed under the name uncultured bacterium. RNAcentral's name for it is "bacterial SSU rRNA". It matches the Rfam family "Bacterial small subunit ribosomal RNA", at positions 335 to 639 of the family's 1533-position model. The record is from RNAcentral.
AUCCUACGGGGGGCAGCAGUGAGGAAUAUUGGUCAAUGGGCGCUAGCCUGAACCAGCCAAGUCGCGUGAAGGAUGACUGCCCUAUGGGUUGUAAACUUCUUUUAUAUGGGAAUAAAGUGCAGUAUGUAUACUGCUUUGCAUGUACCUUAUGAAUAAGGAUCGGCUAACUCCGUGCCAGCAGCCGCGGUAAUACGGAGGAUCCGAGCGUUAUCCGGAUUUAUUGGGUUUAAAGGGUGCGUAGGCGGGCUUUUAAGUCAGCGGUAAAAAUUCGGGGCUCAACCCCGUCCGGCCGUUGACACUGGGGG